Molecule: ribosomal RNA, 1467 nt
Filed under: Salmonella enterica subsp. enterica serovar Enteritidis
Lineage: Bacteria; Pseudomonadati; Pseudomonadota; Gammaproteobacteria; Enterobacterales; Enterobacteriaceae
Description: partial 23S ribosomal RNA
Rfam family: Bacterial large subunit ribosomal RNA
Source: RNAcentral
GCGACGGUUGUCCCGGUUUAAGCGUGUAGGCUGGUUUUCCAGGCAAAUCCGGAAAAUCAAGGCUGAGGCGUGAUGACGAGGCACUACGGUGCUGAAGCAACAAAUGCCCUGCUUCCAGGAAAAGCCUCUAAGCAUCAGGUAACAUCAAAUCGUACCCCAAACCGACACAGGUGGUCAGGUAGAGAAUACCAAGGCGCUUGAGAGAACUCGGGUGAAGGAACUAGGCAAAAUGGUGCCGUAACUUCGGGAGAAGGCACGCUGACACGUAGGUGAAGUGAUUUACUCAUGGAGCUGAAGUCAGUCGAAGAUACCAGCUGGCUGCAACUGUUUAUUAAAAACACAGCACUGUGCAAACACGAAAGUGGACGUAUACGGUGUGACGCCUGCCCGGUGCCGGAAGGUUAAUUGAUGGGGUCAGCGCAAGCGAAGCUCCUGAUCGAAGCCCCGGUAAACGGCGGCCGUAACUAUAACGGUCCUAAGGUAGCGAAAUUCCUUGUCGGGUAAGUUCCGACCUGCACGAAUGGCGUAAUGAUGGCCAGGCUGUCUCCACCCGAGACUCAGUGAAAUUGAACUCGCUGUGAAGAUGCAGUGUACCCGCGGCAAGACGGAAAGACCCCGUGAACCUUUACUAUAGCUUGACACUGAACAUUGAGCCUUGAUGUGUAGGAUAGGUGGGAGGCUUUGAAGUGUGGACGCCAGUCUGCAUGGAGCCGACCUUGAAAUACCACCCUUUAAUGUUUGAUGUUCUAACGUGGACCCGUUACCCGGGUUGCGGACAGUGUCUGGUGGGUAGUUUGACUGGGGCGGUCUCCUCCUAAAGAGUAACGGAGGAGCACGAAGGUUGGCUAAUCCUGGUCGGACAUCAGGAGGUUAGUGCAAUGGCAUAAGCCAGCUUGACUGCGAGCGUGACGGCGCGAGCAGGUGCGAAAGCAGGUCAUAGUGAUCCGGUGGUUCUGAAUGGAAGGGCCAUCGCUCAACGGAUAAAAGGUACUCCGGGGAUAACAGGCUGAUACCGCCCAAGAGUUCAUAUCGACGGCGGUGUUUGGCACCUCGAUGUCGGCUCAUCACAUCCUGGGGCUGAAGUAGGUCCCAAGGGUAUGGCUGUUCGCCAUUUAAAGUGGUACGCGAGCUGGGUUUAGAACGUCGUGAGACAGUUCGGUCCCUAUCUGCCGUGGGCGCUGGAGAACUGAGGGGGGCUGCUCCUAGUACGAGAGGACCGGAGUGGACGCAUCACUGGUGUUCGGGUUGUCAUGCCAAUGGCACUGCCCGGUAGCUAAAUGCGGAAGAGAUAAGUGCUGAAAGCAUCUAAGCACGAAACUUGCCCCGAGAUGAGUUCUCCCUGAGACUUAAAGUCUCCUGAAGGAACGUUGAAGACGACGACGUUGAUAGGCCGGGUGUGUAAGCGCAGCGAUGCGUUGAGCUAACCGGUACUAAUGAACCGUGAGGCUUAACCUUACAACGCCGAAG